Molecule: ribosomal RNA, 253 nt
Filed under: uncultured bacterium
Lineage: Bacteria
Description: partial 16S ribosomal RNA
Rfam family: Bacterial small subunit ribosomal RNA
Source: RNAcentral
UACGGAGGGAGCUAGCGUUGUUCGGAAUUAUUGGGCGUAAAGGGCUCGUAGGCGGUCUGUCGCGUCGGGAGUGAAAACUCAGGGCUUAACCCUGAGCCUGCUUCCGAUACGGGCAGACUAGAGGUAUGCAGGGGAGAACGGAAUUCCUGGUGUAGCGGUGGAAUGCGCAGAUAUCAGGAGGAACACCGGUGGCGAAGGCGGUUCUCUGGGCAUUACCUGACGCUGAGGAGCGAAAGUGCGGGGAGCGAACAGG